Brachypodium distachyon (stiff brome) is the source of this 1332-nucleotide long non-coding RNA. RefSeq lists it as uncharacterized. NCBI's taxonomy places the organism in Eukaryota, Viridiplantae, Streptophyta, Magnoliopsida, Poales, Poaceae. The transcript has 2 exons. The record is from RefSeq and is a predicted model, not a curated record.
UUCACACUUUGGACUGGUUUCACACAUAAGCUAGCAUGGUUGUUCCUAGUAUAAAUACACAUUCCUCCAUUUCAGCCGCAUCUCUUUGGCAAUUUUAUUUCAGAAUAGGUUAGCCAUGAGCAACCCCAAUCUUGUUUGAGAGUUGUCUACCCCUUUGCUCAUGUAAAACUUACCUUGUGAGAUUGCAGAAGCGGUCGUUCGACGGCAGUCUUUUCGUGCUUAAUUCCAACUUCGUGCGUGGUUGUGUGGAUUCAAAACUUAGAGUGUGGUUGGGCGAAUAAUUGCUGCAGGUCAUUGCAUAGGCGGUGGUUGGCAUCAAGAUCGUCAGGUUGCACUAUUAUCUUGGUUGUUCGCAGCUAGGUACCCAAGAGUGUCGUUGGUUGGAGUUGGUGUUCAUCAUCGUAUCCCUCAGAUGGCGCUAGUUAUCGUGCUCGUGGAGAUUCUACGUCGUGAAGAUCGAGCGCGUCCACAUCAAUUGGUAUGAGAGUUUCGGUUGACACGAAUAGGGUGCGAUAAGGCACCAAAAUCUACUUCCUACUACAUCAUGAAGCAAAAAGUGCAAAGCAGAAAAGAGAAGAAAAGAAAAGCAGAGAGGAAGAUGAUGCUGGAAGGGGUGAUCAAGCAAAAAGGAGGUUAAAGUAGGGAUCUUCUUCGGUGUCAAGCUAGCUAAAGCAAUUGGCUGGGUGCAUAAUUCAAAAGGUGAUGGUGACAGCCUCUGAGAGAGAGCAAGGAGAAGAGCAUAAAAGGGGGUGCACCUCCCUUCCAUCGGGACAGAAGCCAGGAGAGAGGGGAGUGGUUGAGAUCCAGAACAUGGGAAAGAAAGGAGAAGAAGGGAGGAGGGCCAGCUGGCAAGAUCUGGAGCUGUUCUUGGUUGAUUUGGAUGCAUCUACACCGUAAUCUUAGAGUUGUUAAGCUAGAUCAUCACCUUCCUUGUCCCAUAAUCCCUGCUGCUGCAAGAAAUUCUGUAAACUCUGCCCUUACUCUUCCCUUUCUUUAGUCCUUUCCUGUCCUAGUUGUUCUUGCUAAUCUUGCUAUAACCUACUAUUGAAUUCGUAUGCUAAACCUUGUCUACAACUCAAUUCUGUCGUGUGAAGUAACUUUAUUGCUUGUGUUUGCUCGUAAGAUUACUUGUUGAUUUUGUUUUAUCUAUUCCUGGGAGGAAAUUCAGUUAGGCUGUGUUUGGUUCCAGAGUGGGGUGGAAUGGAAUGGAACCAUUCGUUCCGUUCCAUUCCGUUCCAUUAGAUUCCAGUUUGUCGUUUGGUUAAGAAGAUGGAAUAACUAUGUAUUUUGUUUGGUUGAGAGGAUGAAAUGGAAUGGGUUCAUUUUUUGUUU